Molecule: ribosomal RNA, 253 nt
Filed under: uncultured bacterium
Lineage: Bacteria
Description: partial 16S ribosomal RNA
Rfam family: Bacterial small subunit ribosomal RNA
Source: RNAcentral
UACGUAGGGGGCUAGCGUUGUCCGGAUUUAUUGGGCGUAAAGAGCGUGUAGGCGGCCAGGUAGGUCUGCUGUGAAAACUCGAGGCUUAACCUCGAGAUGUCGGCUGAAACCCUCUGGCUAGAGUCCGGAAGAGGAGAGCGGAAUUCCUGGUGUAGCGGUGAAAUGCGCAGAUAUCAGGAAGAACACCCGUGGCGAAGGCGGCUCUCUGGGACGGUACUGACGCUGAGACGCGAAAGCGUGGGGAGCGAACAGG